This 1241-nucleotide long non-coding RNA is filed under the name Heterocephalus glaber (naked mole-rat). Its description in RNAcentral is "lncRNA (ENSHGLG00000034520.1)". Lineage: Eukaryota; Metazoa; Chordata; Mammalia; Rodentia; Bathyergidae. The record is from RNAcentral.
CUCUCGAUUUUGGCUAAGGCCCAAAGUCACUGCACUGGAAGCCAAGUGUGAUCACAGGGCGAGGGAGGCUGCCAGGCCCCGGCCCGUGUGUUUCUCACUAAGGGAGCACUCAGGCUUCCUGCAGCCCCUGGCCACCUCCAGACCACGUGAGAGACAAGCGCACAGCGCACGCGUCGCGGAGCCUGAGGGCGCAGCGACUGGGAUCCCUGUGAAGCGCGAAGCCACUGCCCCCGUCUCCCUCCUCAUGGGCCCUGGGCGUGGCUUCUGGAAGGGCACAGGCGCUGCUGCUCCAGCACGUGGAGAGGUGGCUGCCUGCGGAGCCCCCCGGAAAGAGCCGGCGGUGAGCGCUGUGCCAGGGGCGACCUCCACCCCGCAGGUUCAGGCAGAGCGAGGAGCAUCCGGACUUCCAGCCACCUGGCAGGAGGAGGACUCGCUCCAUCCUGGCAGGACCGGCCCUGGACAUGCAGUCACGCUGGCCAAUGCACGCCUCCAAGUGUGGCUGGGAGAAGGGACCAGGAGGGCCUCCCCGUAGAGAAAUGAGGCCCGUUCCAGCAGAUGCACACGUCACCCUGACUGAUGAGUCACGUGAGGAGCACAGGCCCAGAGCAGCCCGGGGCACCCCAGGUCCACCGGGGGAGAGGUAGCCACGGACCUCUGCCUGGAGGUUGGCGAAAUGGGUUUUCCAUUGUCAUGGACUGUCUUCCUCCCUCAACCCCGAGAACCCACGAGAGCAGGCCAAGAAAGGACCCCAGGUCAGCUGCAUCGAGAACCAGCUAGUUCGGGUACAGUGGUCAGAAGAGCAACAGGUGACACCGGGGAGGUGACCCUGAGCCCUCACAACGCAGGGUCCAGUGCGUGUCACUCUCACUGCCCCUGAUGGCUGUGCCCAGGUCUCUAGAGUGAGCCUCCCAGAAAGCUUCCCUUCAGAUGGCCCGGGUGGGCUGCUCAGUCCUCCUUAGGCGUGUCCAGCCUCGAACAAAGGAGACACAGACCCGGCAAGGCUGAACAGUGGCCGUGGCGGCAGUGGCUCUCCUCCGAUGGCACUGCCAUCCCUGUAUCUGGAGGGCCGUCCCAGGCUCCCGUGGACACCGAACUCUGUGGAUGCUCAAGUCCCUCUACAGAAUGAUGAAACACUACAGCAGUGAAUGAAAUCCUGAGUUGAGAGCAGCAACAGAAUUUGUCACUAAACACCUGCUGUGGCCAGGCUCUGAAGGCAUCUCGUGCACUCUGAUGUCAGAAAG